This 254-nucleotide ribosomal RNA is filed under the name uncultured bacterium. RNAcentral describes it as "partial 16S ribosomal RNA". It matches the Rfam family "Bacterial small subunit ribosomal RNA", at positions 524 to 776 of the family's 1533-position model. The record is from RNAcentral.
UACGAAGGGGGGCUAGCGUUGUUCGGAAUUACUGGGCGUAAAGCGCACGUAGGCGGAUAUUUAAGUCAGGGGUGAAAUCCCGGGGCUCAACCCCGGAACGGCCUUUGAUACUGGAUGUCUUGAGUCCGGAAGAGGUGAGUGGAAUUGCGAGUGUAGAGGUGAAAUUCGUAGAUAUUCGCAGGAACACCAGUGGCGAAGGCGGCUCACUGGUCCGGAACUGACGCUGAGGUGCGAAAGCGUGGGGAGCAAACAGG